CAGGUACCACCAGGUGGCAUACAGGAUGGAGAGGAGCCAGAACCUUGUGAAGAGGAGGCCUAUGAAGAUGACCACGCAGACCUGGGCUGAGAAGGAAGGAAGGCAGAUGUUCUGGACUUGGACUCUUCAAGGAGCUGUAGCCAUAGCCAAGAACAGCACAGGCUGUGAAGAAACACCUUCCUUUCCCAUGUAAGAGGUGGGAGUUGUGGAGGAGAGGAAAGGACACAGCCAGCAAACAAGUCACCCAAGAACGCAUUUGACUUGGGGCUCUGAGCCUUUGGUGACUUCUUGGCUCCAGGUUCCACAGCCCCUCAAGGACAGUGACAUUCAGGACUGAACUCCUAAUCUCUCAAGCCUGCUCCUGAGUGCCCAAGUUCAGUGACGACAGCCAGCCAAAUGUGGGUGAGACUGGGCAUCAACUUGGCCUUCUCCCUCCACCCAUCCAUUCCUUCUGCUCCUGCCCAGGAGCCCAUCUCCUGAAAAUCUCCUGACCCCAAACCUUCUCUCCACCCACUGCCACCCUUUUCAGACUUUUUCUUAAGGGUUCAGAUGGCAAAUAUUUCAGACUUUGCAGUUUAAGGGGCAAAUUGGAGGAUAUUAUGCAUGUACUUAAGCAGCUAUUUUUAAAUGUAGCCUUUAAAAAAUAUAAAAACCAUUCUGAACCCUUGGACUGAACAAAACCAGGGCGCUGGAUGUGGCCCAUGGGCCCUAAUUUGGUGACUUCUGAUCUAGACAGAAUGCUCCUGCUUUUGGUCCCUUCCCCACACCCUCAGCACAGCAGACACAUCGACGGCAGGCACAGGGACCUUUAACACCCAGGCUGGACCUUGUCACUCCACUACCUGAAACUUCCUCAGCUCUCCUUUGCCCUCAGGUUAAGGGAUAAGACAAAACCUCCUGCUCUUGGCACAAAUGAGCCCAGAUCCUUUUUUUUCAGCUGUCCUCCCUCUGGCCCUCCAGGCCCAGGGCUGCUUUGACCCCUACGCUGCUCCUGACCUUCCAGGUUCCUGUGAUAGUGAAGGAGCCAGGCAGGGCCACAGGGCUGCAGGGUGGGGUGGGCAUGGCCAGCUGGAAACACUCUUGCCCUAAAAGAUAACAGGAGGCAGGCUGGGCAUGGUGACCCUCGUCUUCUGUGAUCUGUUGGCUACAGUCACCUGGCACUGGGUCCCCAGAGCCCUUGGACUUGACAGCUUAGGCCUCCCUCCUUCUGCUCUCUUACUGACUGUGGCUCCCACCUCCUCCCACCCCAGCCCCUCUCCCCUCUUCUACCUCCUUAGCCCUUUCUCUGGCAGGAGGAGCCCAGGACUCUGGCUCUGCAGCCUGGGCCUGUAAGGCACUUUCUCUGCUCAUCUACGCAGUGGAAAUAACCAAGUCUGUGUAACAUGUUUAUCAACCCUUAGGGCAGAAACCCAUGUCAAUUAGAAAGGAUGCUAACGUAGGGUCCAGGAGAGCCUGCCGUGCUAGGAAUAAGUUCUUUGGCUGUGAAACCAUAAAGAAAUUCUGAGGAAGUGUGGGGUGGGCACAUAUAUUGUGUGUUAAAAGGCCACUGACCACAAUGUGUCGACAUUUUAGCAACCACGAGAGAGCACAGGCUGAACCCUAGACCCAGGGGGAACAGUUCUUCCCUAGUCCGGUGCCAGCAGAUGAAAUGAAGAAACCCAUUCAUUCACUUCCACCUCCCAACAC
This is a non-coding RNA of Ictidomys tridecemlineatus (thirteen-lined ground squirrel), 1686 nucleotides long. NCBI's taxonomy places the organism in Eukaryota, Metazoa, Chordata, Mammalia, Rodentia, Sciuridae. The record is from RefSeq and is a predicted model, not a curated record.